UGUGGGUGAGAAUGUGAAUUGGUACAACUUAUGGAGGACAGUAUGGAGGUUCCUUACAAAACUACAAAUAGAAUUACCAUAUGACUCAGUAAUCCUACUCCUAGGCAAAUAAUCCAGAAAAAAAAGUAUAAUUUGAAGGUAUACAUGUACCUGCAAUGUUCAUAACAGCACUGUUUAUAAUUGCUGAGAUAUGGAAGUAACAUAAAUGUCCAUCAGUGACAUUGGAUGCAUGGAUAAAGAAGAUGUGUAUAUAUGCAAUGGAAUAAUAGUCAUAAAAAAGAAUGAAGUAAUGCCAUUUGCAGCAACAUGGAUGGACCUAGAGAUUAUCAUACUAAGUGAAGUCAGCUGUAGAAAGACAGCUAUUAUAUGAUAAUACUUAUGGGUGGAAUCUUAAAAAAAGGAUACAAAUGAUCUUAUUUACAAAUCAGAAAUAGACUUACAGACAUAGAAAACAAUCUUAUGGUUAUCAGAGGGGAGAGGUGAAGAGGGAUAAAGUAGGAGUUUGGGAUUAAAAUAUAAAUAGUUCUAUGUAUAAAAUAGAUAGCCAACAAGGACCUACUGUUUAGCACAGGGAGCUAUACCUAUUAUCUUAUAAUAACCUAUAAUGUAAGAGAAUAUAAAAAAGAGUAUUUAUAUUUAUAUAUACCUAUAACUGAAUCACUUUCCUGUACAAUUGAAACUAACAUAACAUCAUAUAUCAAGUAUAUUUCAAUAUUUUAAAAAAAUAUUUAAAAAAUCAAUGUGUAGUUUAAAUAGCAGAUCAGACAUAGCUGAGGGAAGAAUUAGUGAACUGAAAAAAUUAUUCAAAAUUUAGCACAAAUAUAAAAUAUGGAAAUAUAAAGUUUUAGAAACGUGGAGAACAAUAUAAGGUGUAAUAUAAGUUGAAGGAACUACUAGAAAAGGAAUAGAGGAAGUGGGAAAAGGUAAUAUUUGCAGAGAUAAUGGCCCAAAAUAAUUUCAUGAAAAGCAUGGCAUAAGGGAAGUAAAUAAAUAACAAGCAGGAUAAAGUAGAAAAAAAUUUACCCCUUCAUUCUUUGUGAUGAAACAAAACAGAAAAGCAAAGAGGAGCCCUCAAAAGCAGCCAAGGGGGCAAAGUGGGUCAUCUUAAAGAAAUAACAAAAAAUGAAAGCUGUAAGAUAAAGGGACUUCUGAAAGAAAGAAGGCAAGAUGUAACCACAGACGGGAAGUAGGAGACUGAAGAAGAAAUGAUACUCAAAUAAGUUGGUAAACAGGUAGAUAAACAAUGUGUGAAAAAAUGAAAAUAGUACUAUCUUAUUUAUAGGUUAAAAAAAAGGAACAGAGCUAAAGAAAAAAUGUUAGGUCGGUGAAGAGAGUGUUAAAGUCUUCUAGAGAGUGCUCAGUACUUCCCCAAAUGGCUGCCACCAGUGUCUUUGUCCCAAGAAUGAGCUUAAGUUGCCUCCUGCCUCUCUGGGAGGCUCUCUAAGAUGAGUGUAUGGGUCUGAGCCAGGCUUCUUUUAAAUUAUUGCUUCUUCCCUGGGUCCCAGAGCAUGUGAAAUUUUGUGUGCACCCUUUAGGAGUGGAGUCUCUAUUUCCCACAGUAUUCUUGCUCUUCUAAAAGUAAGCUCCACUAGCCUUUAAAGCCAAAUUUUCUGUGGAAAAUUUUUUUUUGGUGCAAGACCCCAUCUGGCUGGGGAGCCUAAUGUGGGGAUUAGACCUCUUGCUCAUUGGAAAGAACUUCAAGGGUAAUUAUACUCUCAUUUCUGUAUGGGUGUGGGUCUUAUCUAUAUUGCUUCUCCACCUCACCUAUCCAUCUCACUGUGAUUCCUUCAUAUAUUUAGUUGUAGGGUAUCUUGUCUGCUGAUGAUCUUCUAGUCUCUCUCAUCAAUUGUUGCUCUUUAAGCAGUUGUGAUUUUUGUGUACCCAUGGAAAAAGGUGAGCUUGGGGUCUUUCUACUCUGCCACACCCCCUAAUGCCAAUUAUAACCCCUGAUUAGGUUGGUUAAUUCUCAAACAGAGGCUUGGCUGAAUUUAGCUACACUUUAGGUAACAAGAUUCUAGAGUUCUUUUUAUUAUUUGAGGGUGUAAGAUGCUGAAUAACUUUAGCAUUUGAAAGGUAAAUGAACAUCAUAUAAUUUUUAAGGUAAUCACAAAAUAAAAUGUGUAUAAGAGCCGAAAGAUUCAAAAUAUAGAGGAGUAAUAGGAGCAUAUAAAUAUAAUAAUAUAUCCAAAUAUAACAAAUCCAAAUAUAUCAGUGAUCACAGUAAACAUAAAUGGAAUAAACUUGAUGGGUAAACAACAGAAAUAUUUUAUAUGUUAUCUUUGAAGACUUAGAAAUGUAUGGGAAAAGUAUGACUGGAAAAAGAUAUGCUAGGCAUACUAAUCAAAAAAAAGGGGGGAAAAGCAAAGAUAGCUAUUUUAAUAUCAGAAAAAUAUAUCUCUGAUAAAAAUAAUUAUUUGGCAUAGAGAAGGUCAAUAUAUAAUGAUUAUAGGUUUAAUUUACUAGGAUUUAUAACAACUCUAAAUGUGUAGCCACCCAAUAAAAUAACUUCAAUUAUUAUAGAUGAGUAAGAAUAAUAAGACCUCUGAAAUUUUUGGUGGGAAUAUAAAUUCAUACAGUCCACUUUGAAGAGCAAUAUAACUUUAUAUUCAAAGUUUAAUGGCCUCAUAUAAUAUGAUUCAUUAUAUUCAUGUAAAUUAAUGAGUUUAAAAUUGUAUACCCUAAAGAAAAUAUUGUAAUUGUGGCAAGAAUAUUCAUAGUAUUAUUAUCAUUUGUAAUUGCAGAAAACUAGAAACAUCUGAAAUGGGUAUCAACAGGAAAAUAAAUAAAUGGUGGUCAGUUUAAACAAUGGAAUAUUAAGUAGCAGCAAAAAUAAAUGAAUUCCUGCUAUACAUAACAUGGCUGUAUCUUAGAAAAUGUUAUUUCAUGAAAAACUCAAGUCAUUGAAGACUGCAUGUAGUAUAAUUCCACUUUUAUAAUAUCAAUAACAAACAAAAGUAAACAAAUUGUUUAGGGACAGAUACAUAUUUGAAAAGCUAUUGACAAUUUUUAAAUCAAGAGAAUAUACAUCCAAAAAUAAAUUAGUGGUUCAAUCUGGUGGCAUGAGAAUUGGAGAGAGGAGGAAAACUUAGGUAGGUGCUAAUGCAUUUACUAUGCUAUUCUUUGUGUGGUGGAUUAAUGGACCUUCUUUUAUUAAUAUGUUUGACAUAUAUAUGAUACUUAUAUUCUCUUGUAAUCAGAUAUUGUGUUAUGAAAAAUUUUAAUUUAAAACUAUAUGUGGCAUAUCCCAUACCUAACAUAUGGCAAACAACACAAAAUUUUAGGUUUUGCUGUUAUAAAGAAAAAAAAUCUCCAGGGAAUUAAAUAAUUGCCGACAUUUGGAGGAAAAUUAGCCUUCACUAGUGGAAGGGUCAAAAGUAGUAUGAGGGCACAGAGAUCCUGUUGGGUUCGUGGGAGGAAUGAUGGGGAUGAGGGGAUAAGUUAAAGAAGCCUUAAAGGAAAAGAUGGGGGGUCCUGAAUGCAAAGAAUUUUUCCAGUACACAUCUGCCUUAUAACAUUGUGCCUUUCUUUUGAGAUGUUCAAAUUAUUUUGGAAAAUGCUAUAUAGUACAUUUAGCAUAGUCUCUUCUUUCAUUUUCCAACUCACAAUGUUCAUUAACAUUUUAUGAACAGUGCUCAUUAACAUUUGUGAGAAACCAUACCAAUUAGCUAAUAAAAAAUGAAAUGCUAUUUAGCUUUAUUUAACUGAACAUUGUCCACUUUGACCAUGAGGCUCUUUUUCCUCCAUGUGACAACAAUUUACAUCUAAUAGAAUUGACUUUUCUUGGUCUAUGUAAUUUUACCUAAAGGCAGUAGAGGUGUAGGGCCACAUGUCAGUCAGAGCUCUGAGGUGAACUGAAACAACUUCAUAUCACCUGGGAGGGACUGUAAAGAAUUUAAAAUUUGAAAGUUAAAUCAGGCAUGGGCAUAGUCACCAUGUUAGUUUGCAUAUUAAAAUUCAUCUUUAUACUUAACCCUUGUGUUAAUACAGACUUAAGUUUCUGAAGGAAUUGUGCACAUGCAUAAUUAGUGUGUGCAUUUGUGUGUACAUGUAAGUGUGUACAUGUAACAUUAUUUUUUUCUGAUAAAUGAACUGACAGCAAUAUGUAGCUACCAUAUCCUUUCUAAAUCUAAAUUUGGGGAUUUAAGUUAUUAAGGUUUUGAUGACCUGGAACAAAUGGUUCAGCUGGUCAAAGAUUUGGAGGAAUGUAGCUGAAGAG
Molecule: long non-coding RNA, 4216 nt
Filed under: Sus scrofa (pig)
Lineage: Eukaryota; Metazoa; Chordata; Mammalia; Artiodactyla; Suidae
Description: lncRNA (ENSSSCG00000055536.1)
Source: RNAcentral